Long non-coding RNA from Canis lupus familiaris (dog), 826 nucleotides. RefSeq lists it as uncharacterized. The transcript has 3 exons. The record is from RefSeq and is a predicted model, not a curated record. NCBI's taxonomy places the organism in Eukaryota, Metazoa, Chordata, Mammalia, Carnivora, Canidae.
UGGGAAACCAUCCUACUGACCAGUUAUAAGCACCACACUACUUGUCCUGGUUCUGAAUUAUGAAGUGGUUCCUUCCACCGAGAGGGAGAAAAGGAAAGUAAGAAAAGAUGGUGGUCAGUAUGGUUUCCUGCUGCAAGUUCUCCUCUUCUGAGGUUAACAGAGGUCUUGGAACUUUGUUCAGGCCCAAGUAGAACCAAGUUCCUUCUACACAUAAAGGCUGUCCUAGAGCUCCAGUGUGACUACAGAAUGUUUCCAAACACACAGCCCUGCAAGACCAGCAUUGCCCUUCCCACUUCAGAAAGAAGAAAAUCAAACCCAGAAAAGUGAAAAACCUUGCCAAGACUGCUCAGCUUAUGAAAAGGCAGAGGGAGAAUUCAAAUCCAGGCCUCCUGAACUCCAAAGCCCCCACUUUCCACCAUCGCAUGCCAGGAAGUAGGCAUCUGUUGACUCCAACAAAACAAGUUUUCCUACCCGUUUGACCCUAUGUUUUAUAGCAUUAAAGUGCAGUUUAACAAGUUCCAACUUGGGGAGUAGAUCCAAUUUCUAGCAAAUGCAGGCAAUACCAAGAUUAUAUUUCCCCAGUGGGGAUGCUAGUGAAACCAAGGGCAAGGAAAGGAAGCAGCAUGUCGAGAGCUGCCCCAGAAGCUUUAGAACCUCUUCCGCCUGCCCACCCCUGCCCCAAAUUUAUAAAGUAUCUGCUUAGCUAUUGCACUUUUGGCCUUAAGCUCCACUAAUUUUUUCUAAUAGGCCUUGAAGCCAUGGUAUAAUUCUUUCUCAGACCAAAUUUGUAAGAAAUGGGCAAAGUGGCAAAAAAUUACCUAAAACA